This 2716-nucleotide long non-coding RNA is filed under the name Ornithorhynchus anatinus (platypus). RNAcentral's name for it is "lncRNA (ENSOANG00000044137.1)". Lineage: Eukaryota; Metazoa; Chordata; Mammalia; Monotremata; Ornithorhynchidae. The record is from RNAcentral.
ACGCACAACUGUACUCCGAAUGAACACAAAAGCGCGCAUACGCCGAACCCCUCCACGAACACACACAAUACAGAUGAACACACACCCAGCACCGCACGUAGAGGCGCACGCUUAGCAUCCCAACCUCCCAAAACACCAUACGAACCGAGCCUGUUCCAGGACCUUGCAGACCGAGACGCUUCUCGUCCCCCGUGCCCGCAGCCACCCAGGGCGAGAAACCUGGGAGAAAGGGGGUCCCCGGCCCCCGGCUAGGACUCUACCUUCUCGGGGCACGCAGAGGCAGCAGCCGGAGCACUGGACUAGCUGGUGCAGGACAAGGUCCCAUUUAGUAAUCCAUGAUUGGGGGUCUCUCUGAGCGCCGGACUCCGCACUCUCCUCCUUCGCAAUUCUUUGUCAUUCCUACAUGGGGCUUCUUAUCGCGCGGAGGGGAGCGUAGGUGGGCGCUGUGGAAAAGGGUCCUAGUUUCUGGGAAACAGAUAGAAUUUGCUGUUCAUUUCCAAUGAUGGGAGAAAGGGGGAGGGAGGCUGGCAGGGCGGGAAGCCAAAGAAACAAACCCAGAAGCAAAAAGGGGUCAUACAACACUUCUAACGAUCCCGAUCUCACUCCAGUUCCAAGCAGAAGUGCUGCCGCUGCUGCUGCUGCUGCUGCUGCUGCUGCUGCUGACCGUCGGCGGUGUUGACUGUCUCAGAAAAGUCCUAAACGGGCAUCGCUCUGCUGAUCCCAGCCGAAGAGCGCCGCUGCUCCCAGCCCGAAGCGCCUGCUCAUUGGAGUGCGUUCGGGGAGGGGAGUUCAAACAGUCCCCUGCGCUCCGGCUCCGGCUCCCGCUCCGGCGAACGAAGCGUCUUCAGGGUGGGACCAAAUCCCGGACUGGAUCGCCGGCAGGUGGACUCCCCUUCGCGGAACCCUCCUCCCGCCACUCUCGGGUCCGACCGUCCAGAGAGGAGGGAGGGGUGUGUAUGUGUGUGUAUGCGUGUGUUUAUGUGUGCAUGUACAGAGGGAGAAAGGGGGUGGGGGUGGAGAAGGGGCAUGGCAAACGGCUUUGGCUUCCAAUCGGACUUCACGCCCCCCUACACCCACCCAUAGCCCCUAAAGAGGGGGCUUUCUCCCCUCCCGCGCUUGUAAACGGGAUUGGGGGAAGAAAAAAAAAAACAAAAAACGGGGACCCUCUAAGUAUCAGCCUCACUGAUCCCUGCCAAAUUAGAAAAAAAAAGAGAGAGAGAGAAAUAGUCCGGGAGACGAGUUGCAAAAAAGGAUUUGCUGAUCGAUUGUCUCAAAUGGAAAAGUUUUAGAGGAUGAGGGGAAGCUUUCUAAUUCCGAUUACCGUAUCGAGACUCAGUUGCCAAUGUGAUGGGAGUCGCGCAUACCCAGAUGAAUUAAAUAUAAACCGGCUCUAUAAAAAUACAUCUCAAAGACGCGAGUUCAUCGGUUAUAGCUAUUAGUUAUUCAUAGGAAUACAUGUUUAUAAAGCUUGUUAAACAAAGCAUAACAGUACUUUCUUGUUUUUUCCACUGACGCCGAACUGAAGUAACAAUUAAGCCUUAUCCCCUUCUGACCCGGUUCGGUAGCCUGAAAGUUCCGUGUGCAUUCGGUAGCAGAAAUUGGUUUUUGAAAACUGAAAAUAAAGACAGUGCCCGUUAAAAAGGCAAGCUCGGUGGUUAAAGCAGGUUUCAGCCCCUACUCUGUUAUCGGUAUUGUGCUGGGAUGAUCGUUUCGAUCGCUCAGAGAGUAGACGUCAACCUUUUCCGUGUAAACUUUAAAUCGCCAAGAAGGAGCUUCCUUUAACCUAGGGGCCUGUGCCAGCAGGGACGGGGCCAAUAAAUUUCCAGCUCUCCGUUUGCAAAGGACCCCCUCCCACCCCCCAAGCCCUAACUCUUAGCCAGGCAUCUGCCUCGCCUCGUACAGCAUCCCAUACGAUAUGACAUCCGCGCUGGCGUCCCUGCUACGCGCUUGCAGAGACUCGGUGUCCCUUCGGAGGGCCCCGGGACGCUCCAGCCCGUCCAAAAAGUAGCCAUUCUCCCCAGCGGGAGGUAGCGUGUGUUGCGGGGGGAGGGAGGGGAACUAGGGGGAAGAAGUUAAAGGACGAGAGAGGAGAGUCGUAGAUGCCAGAGGACCCACGGCCUCGGGUGGCAAAGGGGGAUGGAAGAAGCAGGAGCGGGAUGUCGGAACCUUUUAAAACUCGGGAGACCCGCUUUUCUUCCCCCCACCCGCGCUAGAUCUGUGCACAUCUGCCUCGAGCAGUGACGGUUCGAUAGGAGCUGCAUUCCCAGCAGCUCACGUUUCGUUUUCUUAGAGAUGAUAGAUAGAUAGAUAGAUAGAUAGAUAGAUAGAUAGAUAGAUAGAUAGAUAGAUAGAUAGAUAGAUAGAUAGAUAGAUAGAUAGAUAGAUAUAGAUGCCACUUGUCAGCUGUGUGACUGUGGGCAAGUCACUUCACUUCUCUGUGCCUCAGUUACCUCAUCUGUAAAAUGGGGAUGAAGACUGUGAGCCCCCACGUGGGACAACCUGAUCACCCUGUAUCUCCCCCAGCGCUUAGAACAGUGCUCUGCACACAGUAAGCGCUUAACGAAUACCGACAUUAUUACGAUCAUAUAGGUAGAGGAGAAAGAGAGGCUUGGAUCGGCGUCGCCGUUCUCGCCGUUUCCCCGAGCGGCCAGCAGGGGUCACCCUUUCCAGCUCUCUAUUCAUCGCUCCCGAGGUUUGCAAGCGGAGCGAGGCGGGU